AAACCACCAGGGAUUGCCUCAGUAACGGCGAGUGAAGCGGCAAAAGCUCAAAUUUGAAACCCUCGGGAUUGUAAUUUGAAGAUUUGGCAUUGGAGAAAGCUAACCCCAAGUUGCUUGGAAUAGUACGUCAUAGAGGGUGACAACCCCGUCUGGCUAACCGUUCUCCAUGUAUUGCCUUAUCAAAGAGUCGAGUUGUUUGGGAAUGCAGCUCAAAGUGGGUGGUAAACUCCAUCUAAAGCUAAAUACUGGUGAGAGACCGAUAGCGAACAAGUACUGUGAAGGAAAGGUGAAAAGAACUUUGAAAAGAGAGUGAAAUAGUAUGUGAAAUUGUUGAUAGGGAAGGAAAUGAGUGGAGAGUGGCCGAGGUUUCAGCCGCCCCUCGUGGGCGGUGUACUGCCGACGCCGAGUCAUCGAUAGCGAGACGAGGGUUACAAAUGGGAGCGCCUUCGGGCGUUCUCCCCUAACCCUCCACACUGCCACCGACGACAUAAUCCACCCAUUUCAC
Molecule: ribosomal RNA, 505 nt
Filed under: Yarrowia lipolytica
Lineage: Eukaryota; Fungi; Ascomycota; Dipodascomycetes; Dipodascales
Description: eukaryotic LSU rRNA
Rfam family: Eukaryotic large subunit ribosomal RNA
Source: RNAcentral